RNAcentral lists this transfer RNA (74 nucleotides) under Cordylochernes scorpioides. RNAcentral's name for it is "tRNA-Thr". The record is from RNAcentral. Lineage: Eukaryota; Metazoa; Arthropoda; Arachnida; Pseudoscorpiones; Chernetidae.
UGUCCAGGGGCGGGAAUCGAACCCCCACCUUCUGCUUACCGGGCAGGUGCCAUGUCCACUAGGCUACCCAGGAC